GCCCGGUUGGUCAAGUGGUCAAGAUAUCGCCCUCUCACGGCGGAGUCAGGGGUUCGACUCCCCUACCGGGUACCA
This 75-nucleotide transfer RNA is filed under the name Synergistaceae bacterium. Its description in RNAcentral is "tRNA-Glu". It matches the Rfam family "tRNA". From Rfam's summary of the family: Transfer RNA (tRNA) molecules are approximately 80 nucleotides in length. Their secondary structure includes four short double-helical elements and three loops (D, anti-codon, and T loops). Further hydrogen bonds mediate the characteristic L-shaped molecular structure. tRNAs have two regions of fundamental functional importance: the anti-codon, which is responsible for specific mRNA codon recognition, and the 3' end, to which the tRNAs corresponding amino acid is attached (by aminoacyl-tRNA synthetases). tRNAs cope with the degeneracy of the genetic code in two manners: having more than one tRNA (with a specific anti-codon) for a particular amino acid; and 'wobble' base-pairing, i.e. permitting non-standard base-pairing at the 3rd anti-codon position. The record is from RNAcentral. Lineage: Bacteria; Thermotogati; Synergistota; Synergistia; Synergistales; Synergistaceae.